UUAAGUAAUUUCCUUUUUUUAUAAGUACAAAACAAAAUAUCCAAUCAUUUGUACUUUAUUUUAUCACAUACUUUAUCUCUCUCUCUUAUUUCUCCUACUUUAUUUAUCUCUCCUAUCAUUCAACCCAAUUUCUUAUUCUCCGUGCCCAAAAAUUUUUCAUCAACUUAUUUGGUACAAAAGGAGUACUAGUAACAAAUAUUGGAUCUCAUCUUAUCAUCUGUUGUGUUAUACAGGGAUGUCGUUAGAGAAACUACGUACAUUGCUGGAUUCAGGUAACCCUGCAGGUGAGUAUUUACUAUUCUUAAUAUUGAUGUUUAUGUUAUAGGGGUAUUUUCUUUGAUGGAAAUUAAUGGAUGAUAUACAUUUUUCACAUUUUUUCACUCUUUUGAAAUACUCUUUCCGUCUAUCAAUUAAAGAAACAUUUUGCCAUUUUGUCCACGAUUUAAAAAAUCUUAUAUUUUUUCCCACUUUUGGCAUGUGGAUCUCAUAUUCCACUGACAUUUAUCACACAUAGUUAUUAUAAAACUAACUACUAAAAAUGGGUGUCACAUUCCACUUACUUUCUCCAUUUAUUUUUCUUUCACAUAGUCAAAUAAUUUUUUAAAAGUCAUGUCAAGUCAAAAUGACUCUAUAAAUGAUGGAAGGAGUUAGAAUUUGGUAAGGUGGGUAUUUUUCUCAACUCAUUUCCCCAUUUUAUAUUUUCUAACUCCAAUUUAUGAUAAUAUCAUCAUGUUAUAUUAGUGGGAUAAUGUUUUUCCAUGCUUUCCACCACAGAAAAUAUGGUGUGAUGAGAUGAUCAUUUGUGAUUUUUCUUUUUCUUUUUGAUUCUGCCUCUGCUCUCUAUGCAUGGUUUGUAGUAGAUGCUUCUUUUGGACAAUAUCCAAUUAUCAUUUGGGAGUCAUUUGGCUGGCAAUGAUCUUUAGGAUUGUGAGUCGUGUCUAUGAAGAAAUAAAUAUGCAUGUUUUUCGUAUUGUGAUUGGAAACACCAAAAAAAUUGAUAGAAUUCAAAUUUUAAGUUAAAGUCAAAUAGAUAUGAACUUGUAAUAUUUCGAUUUAAUUGCAACUUGUUUGGAGCUAAUCUUUUUUUUAGUUGAUCAACUUGUAAGACUAAGUUGCACACACUUAUCCAAAAAUGGUUAGUUGAACGCUACUUUUCCUCUCAACGAGAUUACAUACAUCAUACACUAUCUUUUCGUUUUAUUUUGAAGAAGAAGACGAAAGGAUUUGUGUUUGAGUUUGAGUUUUGAGUUUGAGUUUGAGGUGCUUCCAAAGACUGAGAAGAUAAAAAGGAAUUAUUGUCAAUCAAACAUUCUUCAAAUUCACACUGGUGACUCCUAAUCUCUAUGGGAACCUGGUCUCCAAUAUAGCUGCAGGUAUUGCUGGUGGAACUGGUGUCAUGCCUGGAGGGAAUGUAGGGGCUGAUCAUGCCAUUUUUGAGCAA
This is a long non-coding RNA of Salvia splendens (bonfire salvia), 1441 nucleotides long. RefSeq lists it as uncharacterized. The transcript is spliced from 3 exons. The record is from RefSeq and is a predicted model, not a curated record. Lineage: Eukaryota; Viridiplantae; Streptophyta; Magnoliopsida; Lamiales; Lamiaceae.